UGUAAAUAUCAUGCAAAACGUAUUUCCAUAUUAUUCAUUUUGUAUGAAACCAGACACAGAAUAGGCAGCCAAAGCCAUGGCAGGUGGAGUGGGUACAAUGGAAGUACAUGACAGGACUCGAUUACAGUAAGUAAUACAAUUCUAGAAAUAACUUAUGUGGAACAUAUUGCUCCUGCUGCACAUGU
This 185-nucleotide long non-coding RNA is filed under the name Monodelphis domestica (gray short-tailed opossum). RNAcentral's name for it is "lncRNA (ENSMODG00000029935.2)". Lineage: Eukaryota; Metazoa; Chordata; Mammalia; Didelphimorphia; Didelphidae. The record is from RNAcentral.